UUCCAUAGAAAGUAAUUCUCCUUUUUCUUUCUUUUUGUCUGGAAGGCCUGGAACUGGGAAAACCGCUUUAGUGGAAGUUCUUCUUAAAAGUUUAAGCACUAAAUUUAAGUUUUUGCACUUCGUAAACGUAAACUGCUUGGAAGUUUCAGACUCUGUAAAUUUUCUGCAAGCUAUCCUUUCUGGCUGUGGCGUUAAAAAACAAAUAAGUUUAAUUGAUGUAG
This is a long non-coding RNA of Zophobas morio, 221 nucleotides long. RefSeq lists it as uncharacterized. Lineage: Eukaryota; Metazoa; Arthropoda; Insecta; Coleoptera; Tenebrionidae. The record is from RefSeq and is a predicted model, not a curated record. The transcript is spliced from 3 exons.